ACGGGAGGCAGCAGUGGGGAAUAUUGCACAAUGGGGGAAACCCUGAUGCAGCAACGCCGCGUGAAGGAAGACGGUCUUCGGAUUGUAAACUUUUGUUCUUAGUGAAGAUAAUGACGGUAGCUAAGGAGAAAGCCACGGCUAACUACGUGCCAGCAGCCGCGGUAAUACGUAGGUGGCAAGCGUUAUCCGGAUUUACUGGGUGUAAAGGGCGCGUAGGCGGGGAUGCAAGUCAGAUGUGAAAUCUAUGGGCUUAACUCAUAAACUGCAUUUGAAACUGUAUCUCUUGAGUGCUGGAGAGGUAGAUGGAAUUCCUUGUGUAGCGGUGAAAUGCGUAGAUAUAAGGAAGAACACCAGUGGCGAAGGCGAUCUACUGGACAGUAACUGACGCUGAGGCGCGAGAGCGUGGGGAGCAAACAGGAUUAGAUACCCUGGUA
The sequence is a ribosomal RNA, 434 nucleotides long. It matches the Rfam family "Bacterial small subunit ribosomal RNA", at positions 341 to 792 of the family's 1533-position model.